This 629-nucleotide ribosomal RNA is filed under the name Escherichia coli. RNAcentral describes it as "bacterial LSU rRNA". It matches the Rfam family "Bacterial large subunit ribosomal RNA", at positions 937 to 1567 of the family's 2925-position model. The record is from RNAcentral. Lineage: Bacteria; Pseudomonadati; Pseudomonadota; Gammaproteobacteria; Enterobacterales; Enterobacteriaceae.
UACCAACCCGAUGCAAACUGCGAAUACCGGAGAAUGUUAUCACGGGAGACACACGGCGGGUGCUAACGUCCGUCGUGAAGAGGGAAACAACCCAGACCGCCAGCUAAGGUCCCAAAGUCAUGGUUAAGUGGGAAACGAUGUGGGAAGGCCCAGACAGCCAGGAUGUUGGCUUAGAAGCAGCCAUCAUUUAAAGAAAGCGUAAUAGCUCACUGGUCGAGUCGGCCUGCGCGGAAGAUGUAACGGGGCUAAACCAUGCACCGAAGCUGCGGCAGCGACGCUUAUGCGUUGUUGGGUAGGGGAGCGUUCUGUAAGCCUGUGAAGGUGUGCUGUGAGGCAUGCUGGAGGUAUCAGAAGUGCGAAUGCUGACAUAAGUAACGAUAAAGCGGGUGAAAAGCCCGCUCGCCGGAAGACCAAGGGUUCCUGUCCAACGUUAAUCGGGGCAGGGUGAGUCGACCCCUAAGGCGAGGCCGAAAGGCGUAGUCGAUGGGAAACAGGUUAAUAUUCCUGUACUUGGUGUUACUGCGAAGGGGGGACGGAGAAGGCUAUGUUGGCCGGGCGAUGGUUGUCCCGGUUUAAGCGUGUAGGCUGGUUUUCCAGGCAAAUCCGGAAAAUCAAGGCUGAGGCGUGAU